GAUGAACGCUGGCGGCGUGCCUAAUACAUGCAAGUCGAGCGAACAGACGAGGAGCUUGCUCCUCUGACGUUAGCGGCGGACGGGUGAGUAACACGUGGAUAACCUACCUAUAAGACUGGGAUAACUUCGGGAAACCGGAGCUAAUACCGGAUAAUAUAUUGAACCGCAUGGUUCAAUAGUGAAAGACGGUUUUGCUGUCACUUAUAGAUGGAUCCGCGCCGCAUUAGAUAGUUGGUAAGGUAACGGCUUACCAAGGCAACGAUGCGUAGCCGACCUGAGAGAGUGAUAGGCCACACUGGAACUGAGACACGGUCCAGACUCCUACGGGAGGCAGCAGUAGGGAAUCUUCCGCAAUGGGCGAAAGCAUGGCGGAGCAACGCCGCGUGAGUGAUGAAGGUCUUCGGAUCGUAAAACUCUGUUAUUAGGGAAGAACAAAUGUGUAAGUAACUAUGCACGUAUUGACGGUACCUAAUCAGAAAGCCACGGCUAACUACGUG
This 497-nucleotide ribosomal RNA is filed under the name uncultured bacterium. RNAcentral's name for it is "partial 16S ribosomal RNA". It matches the Rfam family "Bacterial small subunit ribosomal RNA", at positions 28 to 507 of the family's 1533-position model. The record is from RNAcentral.